CAGCAGCCGCGGUAAUACGAAGGGUGCAAGCGUUACUCGGAAUUACUGGGCGUAAAGCGUGCGUAGGUGGUGGUUUAAGUCCGUUGUGAAAGCCCUGAGCUCAACCUGGGAAUUGCAGUGGAUACUGGGUCACUAGAGUGUGGUAAAGGAUAGUGGAAUUUCCGGUGUAGCAGUGAAAUGCGUAGAGAUCGGAAGGAACAUCUGUGGCGAAGGCGACUAUCUGGGCCAACACUGACACUGAGGCACGAAAGCGUGGGGAGCAAACAGGAUUAGAUACCCGAGUAGUCCCUGUCUCUUAUAC
RNAcentral lists this ribosomal RNA (301 nucleotides) under uncultured bacterium. RNAcentral describes it as "partial 16S ribosomal RNA". It matches the Rfam family "Bacterial small subunit ribosomal RNA", at positions 509 to 807 of the family's 1533-position model. The record is from RNAcentral.